UGUCUCCUUUGUUCGCCCUCGUUGCGCAGUAGUCCUAGCGGCUUCUCUGUUCCGUUCCUGGGUCCAGCAGCUGUCACUCGUGUUGAGCUGCUUGAAAGGCCCACUCGGCGAGCUCGUAGGAGCUUGAGACCGUCGCCACCCCUCCGGUACGUGUCUCCUUUCCUUGGUUCGUUGUUUCGUACGUUCUUGCCUUGUUAGAACUUGGGAUUAUCUCCCUGGAGAUGAGGGUGGCGGGCGCCAUUUUAAGACACCCAAAGGUGCCGACCUAUUUAAAUAAAGCGGGGUGGGGGGUCGGUCAAAGGAAAACACAUUAGGGGGUUCGUUUCCUUGUAUGUCUCUCUUGAAAGUUUGGCCGUUGCCUGCUGGGGCGGGGGCGGGGGCGGAGGCGGAGGUCGGCGUUUUGUAGCUUGAGCGGGACGCGGAGCCACCGCGCCACCGCGGUACCUGCAUUGGGAUGGCGCUGACGCUAACGAUGGCAUGUGGACUUCCAUGCGGCCUCCUUGUUAAUUGGCAGCCCUGGAGAGGAAGCCCUUGGAAUUUUCCCAGCCAGUAUUGAUGGUAAAAGUUAGUUUCCUGACCAGUGUCAGUUGCUCUGGGCUGAAUCCAAGUGUCGCCAUUUUGUCGUUUCCACGCGGUUUUUAAUGACUAGUCUUAAUUGGGUUCCGUCGCAAUUGUAGCGUGUUGAGUGUUACAGUGUGCGCUUCUGUGUGCUGUUAUUUAAUAUGAAAUGAUGUUGACACUUUGCCUUUUUUUUCCCCCCUUAGGCAGUAACCUUUUUGGCGGGUGGGGGCUGGUGGAGAUGAGGCGGAACUUGGCGCAAACUUAAAAGAUACCUGCUUAGAUUUAGUAACAUACUAAUGAGAGAACGGGUAGCCCUUGAAUGAGGGUUUGGUGUUGAAGUCUUGCCGUCUGGUUAGUGACCUUGAACUAGCCAUUAGUCUUAAAAUCCAUCACUGGGAGAGGGGUGUGAUUGAAUCUGUAAAAGGCAUCAGACCUAGGAUUAAAACUAAAAUUGGCUUUUUCAAAUGUUAAGUACCUGUUAACUCGUUAAAAACAGCCAAGGGGGGGCUGGGAUGUGGCUCAAGCGGUAGCGCGCUCGCCUGGCAUGCGUGCGGCCCGGGUUCGAUCCUCAGCACCACAUACAAACAAAGAUGUUGUGUCCGCCAAAUACUAAAAAAUAAAUAUUAAAAAAUUCUCUCUCUCUCUAAAAAAAAAAAACAGCCAAGGAAGAUUAGGGUGAAAGUGAACUUUGUGUCGGCCCUUUCAACUACUUUAAUGUAGAAUUGCACUAUUACCACUUAGUUUAAAUUGGCUUCCUACUGUGUUGGAAGCUUAUCGUUGUCUUUAGUUAUUAAAGAAUAAAGGUUUUAGUAAAACAAUCCAAACCACAUUUAAAGGUGUCCCAUAAACUUGGGGAACUUCUUCUGGGAGGUAAUACUAUUCUUUUUCAGCAGACUCACCAGGGGGGAAAAAUGGUUGAAGCAGAUCGUCCAGGAAAGCUCUUCAUUGGUGGGCUUAAUACGGAAACAAAUGAGAAAGCCCUUGAAGCAGUAUUUGGCAAAUAUGGACGAAUAGUGGAAGGUGAGUUAUAUGAAUGUACAUACUGGGAUAUUAUAAUUAAAAGAUAAGCUGUGAUGAAUUUGAUUACAUUGAUCAUCUGACAUGAUGUUGUAUUUUUGUCCUCUAAGAAGUUCUGAGCUUUCUCCUCAAGUAGAUAGAUAGUUUCAUUGUUUGAUUCGAAUUAGUGACACUUUUUCUUAAACUUUGUUAAAGUGCUCUUGAUGAAAGAUCGUGAAACCAACAAAUCAAGAGGAUUUGCCUUUGUCACCUUUGAAAGUCCAGCAGAUGCUAAGGAUGCAGCCAGAGACAUGAAUGGAAAGGUGAGAUUGCACAAUGAAUACCAUGUAUCCUAGUGCAUAAUAUAGCAUGUGCAAUCCCAACUCUGGUUCAUGGAAGCUCUUGAAUUAUUUUGGUUUUGAAUAUAUACCUCUCCAAGAUCUUCUCACCAUAGCCAAUUUGUAGUACUCUUUUGAAGUAUAUCAUGAGGUGUUUUUUUUUUUUUUUUUUUUGUGGUGCUAGGCAUGCCAAACAAGUGCUCUACCACUGAGCGACAUGCUCAACUGAAGCAUAUUAUGAAAUUCCAGGGUCAAAUGUUGUAGACAAAGUUAUAGAUUGUACCCUUUCUUCCCCCUUGGAUUGGACUUAUGCAUGCUAGUCAAGUGCUCCACCUUGAGUUACAUCCCCAACCAUGGAUUGUGCUCUUAAGUGUUUCUCAGUUCAGAGUAGCAUGUAAUGUUACAGAUAAGCAUUGUAUUUUAUCUUGGGAUCCCUAAACCAUAGCUUGAUGGCUUGGCCUUUAGCAUUGUUUAUUACUUUUGCUUUUUUUUUUUUUUAGGUGGGGGGUACUGGGGAUUGAACCCAGGGGGUGCUUUACCACUGAGCCAUAUCCCCAGUUCUUUGUAUAUUUUAUUUUGAGACUGGGUCUCACUAAGUUGCUAGGGCCUCCGUAAAUUGCUGAGGCUGGCUUUGAACUCAAUCCUCUUGCCUCAGCCUCCUGAGCUGCUAGGAUUACAGACAUGUGACACGAUUCCUGGUUCCUUUUUAUUUUUUGAUACAAGGUCUCACCAAGUUGCUGAGGCUGGCCUCAGCUUGCUAUCCUGCUUCAGUUUCCUGAGUUAACCUGGAGUUGCUGGGAUUAUAGGCAUGUGCCAUUGUACCUAAUCUGGUUAUUAGUUUUGAAAAUGAGCUGAUAUACCUACCUAGCAUUGCUUUAAAUUUUACCAAGUGCACUGAGUUUACUUUAUGCUUUGUAUUCUCAGUGACUGGGUAGACAUUUUAAGUAAGUGGAAAAGUCAUUCUUAGAAUUACUACUUCUAGGAUUUUACUUAGACUAAUUGAUGAACAAAAUUAACUGUAUUUUGGUGUCAAUAGUAUAUAGUGGACCUGUAAGUUCUUUUAAAAUUAUGAUGCAAUUUAACCGUUUUGAUUUUUGUUUAAAGUCCUUAGAUGGAAAAGCCAUCAAGGUGGAACAAGCUACCAAACCAUCAUUUGAAAGUGGUAGACGUGGCCCACCUCCACCUCCAAGAAGCAGAGGCCCUCCCAGAGGUCUUAGAGGAGGAAGAGGAGGAAGUGGAGGAACUAGGGGACCUCCCUCUCGUGGAGGGCACAUGGGUAAUAAUUUAGGUGGAUCUUUGGCUUGGUGUAUAAGAACUGCAAAUCCACGACAGUGUAUACUUUAAGCCCUCGUUGAAAGGCUCUCGCCUUUGAAAUUAAGAAAGAAUAUAUGCUUACCUCUUGAAGUGAUAAUGACUCGAGGAAAACAUGGAAGGUGUCCUAAGUUAAAUGAAUGUUGAUUUAAAUUAUAGAUCACAUUAUUUCUUACCUUAUUACUUAAUGUGUAAGAAAAGUACUUAAAAAAUCUUUUUCAAGAUUCAGUUUGAUACAUUGAGCAUAUGAAAGCAAAACAAUGUGUGUUCUUUGAAAUAACUUUAGAGACUACCCUUCAUUUUCCUUAUUUUCCCAGUCUACAUGACUUCAUGCUUGAUAUUGUGCAAUUGAAAAUAUAAGUUAGACCCCUCAAAGAGAAAAGAUAAAGAGAAGGUAGUAUCAUCAAAUCAUAGAAUUCUUUGUUUUGUUUUGUUUUUUAAAUUCUUGUGUUAACAUAUUUUUUUCUCCUUUCUAAUGUAGAUGAUGGUGGUUAUUCCAUGCAUUUUAACAUGAGUUCUUCCAGGGGACCUCUUCCAGUAAAAAGAGGACCACCACCAAGAAGUGGGGGUCCUCCUCCUAAAAGAUCAGCUCCUUCAGGACCAGUUCGCAGCAGCAGUGGAAUGGGAGGAAGAGGUAAAUGUUGCAUGCAUGACAAUCUGUGCUGUCACCAUAGCACUAAGAAUUAAGAAGUAACUCUUAAAAAUGACCCUUAAGACUUGUUCAGGAAUUCCAGGUGAUCUAGUAACAUGAAGCUAAUGAGUACUCAAAAGAUGUGAAUAACAUUUCUUGAUCUGUGUACGUAUUAUGUUUAAGUCACUACUUUUCAUUGUCUGAAUAUAAUAAGUUCACAUUUUAUUUAACUUUUACCAGGCUACAUUUAAAAAAAUUAUUAUUUUUCCUUAAGCUCCUGUAUCACGUGGAAGAGAUAGUUAUGGAGGCCCACCUCGAAGGGAACCCCUGCCCUCUCGUAGAGAUGUUUAUUUGUCCCCAAGAGAUGAUGGAUAUUCUACUAAAGACAGGUAACACAAAAAAAUGCAGUUUUUUCAUUAAGGUUAAAGGAGAGCUCAUCAAAAGCAUAGACCAAAUUACUUUUGUUUCUAUAGCUAUUCAAGCAGAGAUUACCCAAGUUCUCGUGACACAAGAGAUUAUGCACCACCUCCAAGAGAUUAUACUUACCGUGAUUAUGGUCAUUCCAGUUCACGUGAUGACUAUCCAUCAAGAGGCUAUAGGUAAGUGAGUGCUUCCAUGGCUCAAGUAUAAUAUUUUAUUGUAAAAGUUGGUGCUCUGGGACUCAAAGGUUUUUCUCUUUAAUUUAGUGAUAGAGAUGGAUAUGGUCGUGAUCGUGAUUAUUCAGAUCAUCCAAGUGGAGGUUCCUACAGAGAUUCAUAUGAGAGUUAUGGUAAGAUACUGUUAAGAGUCUUGAGUUUCAGCAGCUUGAGUUUUUAGGUUCAUGAGCCAGUUUAAUAGGCUGCGUGGUGCUUGCUUUUAAAGGGACGUUUGCUUGCUUUUUUAAAGGGUUAACUAUCAGCUGGGCUUUUCCUAGUUUUGUGAGGGGCUUUUGUUCUUUCCUAAGUUUUUUUUUUUCUUUUGAGGCUGUUCGCUUGCUUUGGAGGGGAUUUUGCUUGCUUAAAUUGGCAGCCUUAUGUGUUUUCCCCCAACAGUGAAAAUACAAUUUAAAAAUUUUAUUAACAAGAUCAAAUGUUUACCAUUGCAAUAUGAAGGAAACUCUACAGUUCAAAAUUGCAACUUAUCACUGGAAAGUGGCUGAGUGUCUACUAUAAAAUAACAAGCUGGAAUAUCCUCUUGAAAUACACACCGUCUUCAGUCUUUUCAAACAAACAUUAAAAUCAAUCCAUUUCCAUAUCUCAGCAGAUGAGCAAAUCCUUGUUAUGGCCAGCAAUGGUAGAGUUUAAAACCUCCCAGUUGAGAAAGUAAACUUUUAAUACAAGAAUUCUGUAAAUUCAGAUUUAAAUGUUGUAUAUAUACAAUUUAUAGUGUUGCCAUAUUACCUGACCAUUGACCCUGCAGGUAACUCACGUAGUGCUCCACCUACACGAGGGCCCCCGCCAUCUUAUGGUGGAAGCAGUCGCUAUGAUGAUUACAGCAGCUCACGUGACGGAUAUGGUGGAAGUCGAGACAGUUACUCAAGCAGCCGAAGUGAUCUCUACUCAAGUGGUCGUGAUCGGGUUGGCAGACAAGAACGAGGGCUUCCCCCUUCUAUGGAAAGGGGGUACCCUCCUCCACGUGAUUCCUACAGCAGUUCAAGCCGCGGAGCACCAAGAGGUGGUGGCCGUGGAGGAAGCCGAUCUGAUAGAGGGGGAGGCAGAAGCAGAUACUAGAAACAAACAAAACUUUGGACCAAAAUUCCCCGUUCAAAGAAACAAACAAAAAGUGGAAACCAUUCUGUCAUAACUACCCAAGGACUACUAAAAGGAAAAAUUGUGUUACCUUUUUUAAAUUUCCUGUUAAGUUCCCCUUCAUAAUUUUUUAUGUUCUUGUGAGGGAAAAAAAGUAAAACAUGUUUAAUUUCAUUUGAUUUUGAGUUGCUUUCAACAAGCAAAUGUUAAGUGUGUAAGACUUGUUGUACUAGUGUUGUAAUUUUCCAAGUUAAAGUGUCCCUGAAGGCCACUUCCUAUCCAGUUUUACCCAGUAAAUGAGGCAAGCAAUUCUAAGAUCUUCCACAAACAUCUAGCCAUCUAGAUGUCCAUUGAUCUCCACUGAGAGAUGAAUCGUUCUGCCUAUACAAAAAAGCUAGCUAAUAGGGGGUGGUUGGGGUAUGCUACUCUUAGGAUUUCAGGGUGUCUUCCAACUGAAAUCUCAAUGUUCUCAGUAUACAAAACCUGAGAUCAGAUAUCUAUGUAAGGAAAGUACUAUUCACCCAGUAAAUCCCCCUUCCCCCCAAAAAAAACCAAAUGGAUAAUGCUGGCCAUAUUUUGCCUUUCUGACAUUUCCUUGGGAAUCCGCAAGAACCUCCCUUUCCCCCUCCCCCAAUAAGACCAUUUAAGUGUGUGUUAAACAACUACAGAAUACUAAAUAAAAAGUUUGGCCAAAACCAACCAUGAAGCUGCAAACGAUGCUUGCUCUUACUGUUUCAAAUUUUUGCAACUCUGUAGUGUCUCACUUUUAAAGGAACAGCUUGAUUGCAAAGGAGAAAAUAGAUAAGCAAUGAAGUUAUCUCCAACUUCCUAAAGGCUUAUGACUUCUAAAAAGUGAAUCUAUCAGCAUUCCACAUCAGAUUUAAAGCACCAAAUGCCUGUGAAACAGCAAAGAUGGUAAGCAAAGCAAACUAGUUUUUCCGUCUAAGUCGAAAUUGAACACUUACCUUCCUCAUAGUACAGUGAAACAUACUGUACCUCAUGGCAAUGGAAAUGUGCCUUCUAGAUUAAAAAAAAAAACCUUUUGGAAAAGCAAAUGUUCAAUAGCAUAUUAGAAGUCCUCCAAAUUCAACACUUGGAUUUUUUUUUUUAAAGCAUGUGUGACACUUAAAGGCCUUAAUACAGCUGUUUACCAGUACCAAUCUGGGGCUUGGGAGGGGGUAUUUUUUAAAGUAUUUUUGAUGAAGACCUUUAAACAUGCUUCAUAUGUUUUUAACAUUUUUUUUUUUCAAAUUAGUCUUAGUCAAUAUAAGAAAUGGCUUAGGUUUGGGGUCCCCUCUCUUACCCCUGUAAGCCAUUGCAAACUUGACCUUUAGUUGGAUGCCUGACUUGUUUUUAGUUCUAUGAAACUACACUGUAUGGAGAAAAUCUAUUGCAAGUGGUCUUUAAAAAGCAAAACCUGAGGCAGCAUGACCCAGGUCCAGCCAUGAAGUUGAAAAAGAUGCUCUUGAAUAUAGUAAACUUGAAGACCUCCAACUAAAAAUCCUUAUACGCACUUAUUCCUUCAAAUAAAUGUUUUGUCCGUUCAACUUAUGGAUUUAACGUGGCAGUGCACCAUUGGAACAGAAUGAGAAUCCAUAAGCCAUGCAACUUAACCAUUUAAGCCAUUCCAGUCCAUCCCAAGCCAGUGAAUCUUCCACUACUUAAGAGAACUAGUAGAACAUGAAAUACAUUAAUCUGGAAGUCUGAACUUGCCUUUCUGGAAAGAGGGCAGUUAUAGGCAAGUUUUAAAGUUUCCUUAAGAGAGAUAACUAGUUUUCAUCUGUUUAAUUUUUGCAGGUUGAGGACUUAUGGUCAUUGUGGUCAUGGAGUGCUGAUUUAUUCACAAUAGAUAAAGCUGGCAGCAGGAGAAAUCAAAUGCUAAGGUAAGUUUUGAAAGCACUGGCCUUUCAAGGUUUAAAUAGUAUUUGUAGUUUUGCCACUGUCAAGCUGUGGUGUUGGCAAGUUUUUUUUUUUUUUUUUUUUCCUGAUCCACACUUCAUCUGCAAAAGGGGAUAUAAUAUACAACUCUUGGAAAUUAGGUUAGAUUAUUUAACGUGUGUUAUCUGGCACAUCCAUUUUUUUUAAAGAGAAUUUUAAUAUUUAUUUUUUAGUUUUUGGCGGACACAACAUCUUUGUUUGUAUGUGGUGCUGAGGAUCGAACCUGGGCCGCACGCAUGCCAGGCAAGCGCGCUACCGCUUGAGCCACAUCCCCAGCCCUGGCACAUCAAUUUUGAAUGUAGAGGGAGGUUAUAUAGGUAUAUUUCCAGUAAUAAUACUAUUAGUCAUGCAAUAUUCUUGGCUGUUUAAAACCAAUUGCAAAUAUCUUUUCAUAUUGCAAGAGUUCUCUUGACAGGAUCUGUGUAUACAGGUAAUACUUUGGUAUGUGAGCAGACUUUACAUGAAGUUUGGGCUUCAGUGAAUUUUCUCAGUGCUUGCUUAUUUGUAUAGCUAUAAUACAAAUUGACUAAAUGGAGAGUUAUUGAUAUCAAUUAUAAGAAAAAGUAUGUAUUUAGGAAUGAUGGGGGGUGUUGGGGUACUAUGCAGUAUAAAACAAAUGCUUUACCUUGUAACUUGAUCCCAUGCUUUUUUACAGAGUUGUUGAAGCAGAAGAAUGCUGAUUGUCGAUCAGUCACAGCAGUCGCAUAAGCAGUGCUCGUCAGAAUUGGUUUGGUGCAGGCAAUAGAUUUUUGUCUUCAAGGGUUCUUGUGGAUCUGAGGAAGGCAUUAGUGUUGGUUAACACUCUUAACUAGGGAGUGGUAGUUACUUAAAAUUGACCAAAUGGAGAAAGGGAAAUAAAGAAAUUGGCAAGUGGAGGUACUCAGGAAGUUCUUGUGGCUAUUUAUGUAGAGUAUAGCUUUGGCUUUCAUUUUGUUCAGCUGAAGCAACUCUGCAAUUUAGAAUUAAGUAUCACUGAAUUUCAGAAAGUUGAGUUAGGGGCUGAGGAUGUAGCUCAGUGGUAGAGCACCUGCCUAGCAUGCCUGAAGGCCCUGGGUUCAUCCCUAACACUGCAAAAAAAAAAGUUGAAUCAUGAUAGGCAUUAAGUGGUAACUUGUAACUCUCUUUCAAGUAAUAUCUUUAUUAUUAUUUUUUUUUUCAGCAAGUGAAACUUAUUCUGGCAUUAGCUUAUCAGGAAUGAGGGUUCAGUUUUACAGCAAAACUAAAGCAAGGAGUAACAUGGGGAAAAUGAAAGUAACAACUGGAAACAUUGCUAGAGUGGUGGAAAGCACACUUGAAACUGGAAACAAAUUGGUCACUUGGUUAUUGUAUCAUUUUAUAAGCUUACUUUACCCACAGCUCCCAUUCUUGGAAACAAAUCAUGGUAAAACCAGUUUAUUGCUUUGGAGACUAGAGCCAAUAGUUUAAGUAUUAAUGUUCUCAAAACAGAGUUGUUGCAUUAGAGGAAGCAGCUCAACUUCUGAGAAUUUUUGCAUAGUAUAAUACUAUCACAUUUAACAACUGUGAUUCAGGAAAAUAAAUUUUAACCCUCAUUGGUCACAUUCCUAAGUCAUAGACCAUGAGGAUACUGACCAAUUAAGUAGUUGCACUUGAAUAGCUAUCUUAGCUCAAGUCUUCCAUAAUCUAAUUACUUGAGUUGGUGCUUCUGUGAGGACUUUUUUGGCUCUUGAGAUUUUAUUUAGAUUUCUUGAAGACAGUGUAGAAUAGACUAAUUGUAGUAUGAAUACUAAAUUCAGAGUAAGGAGUAUGCUUAAAUUACCAGAUACUUUUUUAACAGAUAACUUAAAGACCCAGAAGGCUUAGUUUUUCCAUUAGUAAAAGAGUUGGUCUUGAUUCAUUUUACUUUAUAUUGGUUGUAAAAGAAACGGAAUGAUAAAAUGUUUUCCUUGUUUGACUGGUAGUUGAAUAUAGAACUUAGGUAUUAUAGAUCAUUUUCACUUUUUGGAAUGUUUUGUAUUGAGACAAUAAAACUUAAACGUGCAUCUUUUUUGUGGCAAUGGGUUCUUUUUUCCUUUUUUUUAAAACCUUUUUGAAAUUAGAAAUUAUUUAGGCUUUGAAGUAUUUUUCUUUAAAAAGAAAAAGUCCCGCUUCACUCACAUUAGUUUUGACAUACUUCUGGCACUUGAUAUAUUGAGUCACUGAUUUGGCCAGCUUCUGCAACUAGGUAGCUGUCUUUAUUGGGGAGUGAACUUAGAUGUACAUCAAGGUAAUUAAUACAAUGAGGCAAUUCAGAUGAUUUCAUUUAAUUUUCGCCCCCUAAAUUUAGUGGGAGCAAUCGUACCUAAGAAUUGGAGACUAACAUAUUAAUAAUUAUUUCUUUUACCUCUGAUUUGCUUUUAAAUAUCAAGAGGAAAAGGUUGUAGCAAUGAAUCCAAAGCACUUUAGACCAAAGUCUGUCUUAGUGAUGCUGUUGACCCAUAUGUGCUUUACCACUGAGCUGCAUCUUUAGUUUUUGUUUUAUUGUCUAGCCUGACCUUGAACGUGUGAUCCUGCCUGGGCCUCCCAAGUCAGAUUAUCAAUGUGCACCAUCAUACCCAGCUUAUUAAAUAUACAUUUGGCUAAUGGAUGUUGGCACCUAAAUGGUGACAUUUGUGUUAUGAAGCUAAGUUGAAUGACAGCCCCAAGUAAAUUAUCAUGGGGUUUAUACCAGUUUCAGGAAAAAAGCCUAUCCAUCCUAUCAGUUCUUUAGAAACCUUAAUAACCAUUUCAGUAUUUAUGAAUUUCAGGAUAAAAUUUAACUCAUGUCCCAUCAUUCCCUUUAUGGACCACCUAAAGAUCUUAAAUUGACCAACAAAUAUACCACUUAGAGUGACUUUGAAAUAUUUUUAAGAGUUUUUUUUUUUUUUUUUUAAAUGUACUGGAGGUUUAACCUAGGAAUUUGCUCAUACUAGGCAAUAGUUCUAUUUUGAGAAAAUAGGUGAACAAUUAGUGAUUAUAUAAUUAAUGUUAAUUAGUUCAAGAUUAUUUCCAACCUAUUUUAAUGCUUGCUUUGAAAUAUUUUCAAACUUAAGAAAAUACUGCGUGUAUUGUUGUGAGGAAAAUGCAUAUGCUCUUAUAAAGAUGGAAACCAUUGCCAUUCCAGAAAGUUAACCUUCUGGCCCUUCUCAGAUAAUUCCUGCCUUCAUCCUUAAAAGAUGCUAUUUUUUUCCCCUCUAAUAUCUACACAUUGGUCUUAUCUCUUAGAACAUUAAAUAAAUGCAAUUAAUCAUGGGACACCUUGUAAAGCUUUCUGGAGAGGAUAUCAGUAGUUUUUAUUGAUAAGAAUGAGAACUUAAAAUUAUUUAUUUAUGAUAAAAACCUGGGCUUUUUCUAGUUUAGGGACUAUUAGGAAUAUAAAGUUGCUAUGAAUUUUUCAGUACUGGAAUUUGAACCCAGGGGCAUUUGACUAUUGAGCUACAUCCUUAGCCCUUUUAUAUCUUGAGAGGCAGUGUUCCCUAAAUUGCCCAGUAUGUGCUUGAACUCUUCCUGAGUAUCUGGGAUUACAGGCAGGUAUUACCUUGGCUGGCAAUACUUAUUUUUUAAAUUAAUGAGGAUUGAACCAAGGGAUGCUUUACCACUGAGCCCACAACCCCAGCCCUUUAAAUUUUUUGUUGUUUUGAGAUGGCCUUGUGAAAUUGGGGCCUCACUAAAUUGCUGACGGUGACCUCAAACUUGUGAUCCUCCUUUCUUGGCCUCCUGAGUGACUGGGAUUAUAGGCACCCAGCCUGGCUACGUUUUAAAAAUAUAAUACACAUUUAUUAUUAAACAUAACAUAAAUUAUCAAAAUAAUUAUGGCAGAAUACACAGAUCUCAAGUGUGCAGUUGGAUCAGUCUUGAAUAAAAUUUCUCAUUUAGAUUAAAAUACAAAAUAUCCCUUAAUUCCCAGAAAGUUACUGUGUCCCUUCCCAGUUAGUAGUAAUACUUCCCAACCCCAGGGAAGCAACACUGACCUGGUUUUAUUAUAGGAUAAUCUUGCAUAUUUUAAUAAUUUAACAUUUUUGGUCUAGCUGCCUUGAGCAUAUUUUUGAGAUUUGUUUAUGUGGUUGCACGUAUCUGUAGAUUUUUGUUUUCUGUUUUUGCUGUGCUGGGGUUUGAAUCCAGUCCUUGUGCAUACUAGGCAGAUGCCCUGCUACUGGGCUAUCCCCCCAGCAGUUCAUUUUUCAUUGUUGAGUAAAAUUUCAGUGUAUGAAAUAUACAUCUAUUCUAUUGAUGGAUAUAUGGACUGUUUGGUUUUCUUGGAUAUUAAUAGUGCUGUGACUUCUUGUAUGUCUUGGAUGUAUAUUUUCAUUUCUUUUGAAUAAAUAUUUAUUCAAGUUAAAGUGAUGGGGUGAUAGAAUAGACAGUAAUAUUUAAUUUUAAGAAACUGCAAAAUGGUUUCCUAGUGGUUGUACAUUUUAUGCCCUCAGCAGUUUAUGAGAAUUUUGUUUGUUCAACAAUAACCUUUCUCCAACAUUUGCUGUGAUGCUGAACACUUUUUUAAAAAUAAACUUUUGGGAUAAUUUUUUAAAUUUUCAGAAAAGUUGUAAAGAUAGUGUUUCUGUAUAUGUUUCACCCAGUUUCCCCUGAUUUUAUUUUUUAACCCCCAAUUUUAAUGUUAUGUGACUGCUAUAUUUGUCAAAACUAAGAGUGUAACAUUGGUACAUUACUGUUAACCCUACUUUUUGAUUCCAUGUUUUCUAUUGUUCUCUUUCUGUUUCAGGAUCCAACCCAUUAUCUCACAUUGCAUUUUAUCCUGGGCAAUACCUCAUACUAUUAAGCCAUUUGUAUAUCUUUCAUAAAGUGUCAGUGUUUUGUCCAUUUUAAAAGUUGGAUUGUGGAUUGCCUGUUUUUUUAAAUGAAUUUUUUUUUGCAUAUUCUGGAUUAUAAAUUGUCAGAUACAUGUGUUGUGAAUAUCUCCUGGUUUGUCUUGCCUGUUCUCAUUUUUCUUGCAUAAAUGAAAUCUUUUAAAAAAAAUUAGUGGUUCCUGUUUCCUGUGACCUAUCAAGGCUGUCUACUUCAUGGUCAUGAAGAUUUCUUCUAGAAAUUUUGUAGUUUUUGCUUUUAUGCUAAAGCUCCAGUACAUUUUGAAUUCAUUUUUAACUGUGUGAGAUAAGAACUGAAAAUCAUUUUUCCCAACUAUAGUUACCCAUUUAUUCCAGCGUCUUUUGUUGAAAACUACCCUUCCAUUGAAUUACCUCAGAAUCUUAGUAGGUCCCAUAUAAACCUGUGUCCACUACUGUACUUCACAAUGGAUCCGUACUGUCUUUUUAGCUUGACUACUGUAGUUUUACAAUAAACUCUAAAGACAAUUUUUA
RNAcentral lists this long non-coding RNA (12793 nucleotides) under Marmota monax (woodchuck). The stretch from base 1629 to 1701 matches the Rfam family "Small nucleolar RNA SNORD61". The record is from RNAcentral. Lineage: Eukaryota; Metazoa; Chordata; Mammalia; Rodentia; Sciuridae.